Molecule: long non-coding RNA, 644 nt
Filed under: Equus asinus (donkey)
Lineage: Eukaryota; Metazoa; Chordata; Mammalia; Perissodactyla; Equidae
Description: lncRNA (ENSEASG00005038374.1)
Source: RNAcentral
GUUAGGCAGCCAAGGUUGAGAACUACGGAUCUAGCAAGAAAUGGAUAACUUGUCAAAAUGAGAUUCUUAUUUCUUCAAAUCUUGCAUAUUCUAAUCCAAACUUUUGAAAUUCAGGAGAAAUGACCUACUUACCUGUAGCUGGAAGAAAUAGAGGGGCCAGAGCAACAGUGGAGAAGCAGCCGAGGAGCGCAAACACAGUGAACAUUCCCACCUGUCCGAAGAUGACGUAGGGAAGCACCAGUGCACUGGGGACCAGAUCGCUGCCUUAACGCCAUUUCUUAAAGAUGUGCACAAGGUUUUCACGGUGUGGUGAACCAGCUCGGACCCGAUACUCUGCUAAGGAUCUGACGUCCACAGGGCAUUUUGGAAACAUUGGGCCAGGAGUCAGGAAGACCCUAGUCUGCUGCCUGCCAGGAACCAAUUGCUUGACCUUGGACAAGUCUCUUUCCGUGUCUGGGCCUCAUGCUCUUCAUCUCUAAAGACUCAGACCACACAAUCUCUAAGAUUUCUUCCAGCCCUGACGAAUGUGUUCAAUAAUUUUGUUAAAAACACCCUGUCUCAAACAAUGAAUCUGUGCUUAGCGUGUAAUGGAUACACGAUAAAUGUUUGUCACACAGAAUUAAAUCAUUGUGAUUUCCAUGGAA